GAGAAAUUCCAAUCGAACUUGGAGAUAGCUGGUUCUCUCCGAAAUAGCUUUAGGGCUAGCCUCGAGGUAAAGAGUCAUGGAGGUAGAGCACUGUUUGGACUAGGGGCCCUUCUCGGGUUACCGAAUUCAGAUAAACUCCGAAUGCCAUGUACUUAUACUCGGGAGUCAGACUGCGAGUGAUAAGAUCCGUAGUCGAAAGGGAAACAGCCCAGACCACCAGUUAAGGUCCCCAAAUAUAUGUUAAGUGGAAAAGGAUGUGGGGUUGCUUAGACAACCAGGAUGUUGGCUUAGAAGCAGCCACCAUUGAAAGAGUGCGUAAUAGCUCACUGGUCGAGUGACCCCGCGCCGAAAAUGUACCGGGGCUAAACAUAUUACCGAAACUGUGGAUGAACCUCUUUAGAGGUUCGUGGUAGGAGAGCGUUCUAAGGGCGGUGAAGUCAGACCGGAAGGACUGGUGGAGCGCUUAGAAGUGAGAAUGCCGGUAUGAGUAGCGAAAGAAGGGUGAGAAUCCCUUCCACCGAAUAUCUAAGGUUUCCUGAGGAAGGCUCGUCCGCUCAGGGUUAGUCGGGACCUAAGCCGAGGCCGAUAGGCGUAGGCGAUGGACAACAGGUAGAGAUUCCUGUACCAGUGCUAAUUGUUUAACCGAUGGGGUGACACAGAAGGAUAGGGAAUCGCACGAAUGGAAAUGUGCGUCCAAGCAGUGAGUGUGAGAAGUAGGCAAAUCCGCUUCUCGCGAAGCAUGAGCUGUGAUGGGGAAGGAAAUUAAGUACGGAAGUUCCUGAUUUCACGCUGUCAAGAAAAGCCUCUAGGAAGAGUAGUACUGCCCGUACCGCAAACCGACACAGGUAGAUGAGGAGAGAAUCCUAAGGUGAGCGAGAGAACUCUCGUUAAGGAACUCGGCAAAAUGACCCCGUAACUUCGGGAGAAGGGGUGCUCUAUUAGGGUGCAAGCCCGAGAGAGCCGCAGUGAAUAGGCCCAGGCGACUGUUUAGCAAAAACACAGGUCUCUGCAAAACCGUAAGGUGACGUAUAGGGGCUGACGCCUGCCCGGUGCUGGAAGGUUAAGAGGAGUGCUUAGCUUCGGCGAAGGUACGAAUUGAAGCCCCAGUAAACGGCGGCCGUAACUAUAACGGUCCUAAGGUAGCGAAAUUCCUUGUCGGGUAAGUUCCGACCCGCACGAAAGGCGCAACGAUCUGGGCACUGUCUCAACGAGAGACUCGGUGAAAUUAUAGUACCUGUGAAGAUGCAGGUUACCCGCGACAGGACGGAAAGACCCCGUGGAGCUUUACUGCAACCUGAUAUGGAAUGUUUGUACCGCUUGUACAGGAUAGGUAGGAGCCGAAGAGACGUGUGCGCUAGCAUACGAGGAGGCAAUGGUGGGAUACUACCCUGGCUGUAUGACCAUUCUAACCCGCCACGCUUAGCGCGUGGGGAGACAGUGUCAGGUGGGCAGUUUGACUGGGGCGGUCGCCUCCUAAAGAGUAACGGAGGCGCCCAAAGGUUCCCUCAGAAUGGAUGGAAAUCAUUCGCAGAGUGUAAAGGCACAAGGGAGCUUGACUGCGAGACUGACAAGUCGAGCAGGGACGAAAGUCGGGCUUAGUGAUCCGGUGGUUCCGCAUGGAAGGGCCAUCGCUCAACGGAUAAAAGCUACCCCGGGGAUAACAGGCUUAUCUCCCCCAAGAGUCCACAUCGACGGGGAGGUUUGGCACCUCGAUGUCGGCUCGUCGCAUCCUGGGGCUGUAGUCGGUCCCAAGGGUUGGGCUGUUCGCCCAUUAAAGCGGCACGCGAGCUGGGUUCAGAACGUCGUGAGACAGUUCGGUCCCUAUCCGUCGCGGGCGCAGGAAAUUUGAGAGGAGCUGUCCUUAGUACGAGAGGACCGGGAUGGACACACCGCUGGUGUACCAGUUGUUCCGCCAGGAGCAUCGCUGGGUAGCUAUGUGUGGCAGGGAUAAACGCUGAAAGCAUCUAAGCGUGAAGCCCCCCUCAAGAUGAGAUUUCCCAUUUCUUCGGAAAGUAAGAUCCCUGAAAGAUGAUCAGGUAGAUAGGUUUGGAGUGGAAGUGUAGCGAUACAUGGAGCGGACAAAUACUAAUCGAUCGAGGACUUAACCAAAA
This 2111-nucleotide ribosomal RNA is filed under the name Listeria monocytogenes. RNAcentral's name for it is "partial 23S ribosomal RNA". It matches the Rfam family "Bacterial large subunit ribosomal RNA", at positions 821 to 2925 of the family's 2925-position model. Lineage: Bacteria; Bacillati; Bacillota; Bacilli; Caryophanales; Listeriaceae. The record is from RNAcentral.